UACGUAGGGAGCAAGCGUUGUCCGGAAUCAUUGGGCGUAAAGCGCGCGUAGGCGGCCCGGUAAGUCCGUUGUGAAAGUCAAAGGCUCAACCUUUGAAUGCCGAUGGAUACUGCCGGGCUUGAGUCCGGAAGAGGCGAGUGGAAUUCCUGGUGUAGCGGUGGAAUGCGCAGAUAUCAGGAGGAACACCAAUAGCGAAGGCAGCUCGCUGGGACGGUACUGACGCUAAGGCGCGAAAGCGUGGGGAGCGAACAGG
This 253-nucleotide ribosomal RNA is filed under the name uncultured bacterium. Its description in RNAcentral is "partial 16S ribosomal RNA". It matches the Rfam family "Bacterial small subunit ribosomal RNA", at positions 524 to 776 of the family's 1533-position model. The record is from RNAcentral.